Molecule: non-coding RNA, 253 nt
Organism: Pelobates cultripes (western spadefoot toad)
Lineage: Eukaryota; Metazoa; Chordata; Amphibia; Anura; Pelobatidae
Source: the annotation of a GenBank genome assembly
CAUUUUGAAUACCCUGGCUUGUCUACUUUUGAAAAUUGUACGCCAUGAUGGGGUUCAUUUUCAUUCCUAGGCUAUAGUAUGGUCUCAACUGCAACAUAGGCCCAGUAAACCAGUCUUGCAAACUGAAAUGGGCAAGUCCUAUACUGACCCUGUAACUUUCCAAAAUACCAUAAAAUCUGUACAUGAGGGGGGUACAGUUUUACUCGAGAGACGUAGCUGAAUACAAAUACAAGUGUUUAAAAACAGUAAAAUG